RNAcentral lists this transfer RNA (58 nucleotides) under Urocitellus parryii (Arctic ground squirrel). RNAcentral describes it as "Spermophilus parryii (Arctic ground squirrel) tRNA". It matches the Rfam family "tRNA", at positions 8 to 63 of the family's 71-position model. From Rfam's summary of the family: Transfer RNA (tRNA) molecules are approximately 80 nucleotides in length. Their secondary structure includes four short double-helical elements and three loops (D, anti-codon, and T loops). Lineage: Eukaryota; Metazoa; Chordata; Mammalia; Rodentia; Sciuridae. RNAcentral also lists the same sequence under 1 other name. The record is from Rfam by way of RNAcentral.
UAACUCAGCUGGUAGAGUGCUUGUCUUGCAUGCAAAAGGCCCUGGGGUCAAUCCCCAG